UCAUUAUUGUUAAAGCUCAUUAUUGCUCUCUCUUCAGGUGAAUGCAGUGAAGGAUUGCUGCUAUUUCCCUUGCCUUUCCAGGCUGGGGAGGCCAUUUAACUUCAUGAAGCUAUUGCUCUGCACCUUGUGUAAGCGACUGCAUCGCUUCCACUGAACUCAGGACGCAGUGCAAGAGCUGGAUCUGCCAUGUGGAAAGAAGCAAGGUCGAGGAGGGUCUUGUGUGUGAUGUGUCCUGCCUUGCCCUGGCAUGGGUGCUCUGUGGGCAGGCUGCGUGCAGGGGAAGCCUCGGGGCUGACUGCAGCACAUAACGAGCAUCAACACUGAAGCUUCAACAAGCUCACUGAACAUGGGAGAGAAGAACACUCAGUGAAACUGCUGAGGUGAGUCAAAUUGGUUGGAAUUAACAAGGGUAGUGUUGACCAUAAUGAUAUAUUUACAGUCUGGUGAUUGUUCUCUGGGAAAGAAGGAAAGGGGCUUAAAAUCCUAUUUAGUUUAAACUGUAUUUUAACUCGGGCAGUUCUUCAGUAGUACACAGUUAAUGUAGUCUGUCAAAUCCCGCUGACAUAUUUUGGCAAUAGAUAUUUCCUCUAAUUGAAAGCAAUUGUUGUGUUGUAAGUUUUCCCCCUUUCCCAUUUGUUUUGCUUAACGAGUAGUGGUGGCCUGUCUACUUAGGCACGUAUUGAGCAACUGCUCACUGGAAAGUUAGCAUAUUGCAAAGAGUGCAGCACGAUCCUGCCUGACUUCAUAAGGAGAAAUUUCCUCCAGGCUUUGGCAGAGGAUGUUUGAACAAAGCUGGUAGGCUCAGCCUUGCUGGUUGUUAUUGCAGGGCUUUGCUGGUUGGGUCAGCUAUGGCCUUCAUGUGUGACUCCUGGGGUAAAACCAGGCUCGCUUCCAAUGCAGCCAUGCUUUGUUUUGAACAAUCAGCAUGGCCCCUGCUGUGAAUCCCCACGAGGGGAUGCUCUGCUUUAUGUUGCCUUCACUUCCUUUCCUCAGAGCCAAAUGCUGCAUCCUACGCUGCUGGAACGCAGUCAAGAUGCGCAGCCUGUGUGGACAAGACAUGGCCAGUCCCUGUUGUGUCAGAUGCUGCUGCUGCUCCAGUGGGAGCUGUCAUGCUGCCCUGGGAUGGGCCUAUGCACUGGGGACUUGCAUCCUCCCUCCACUCUACUGCAGGGAAUGUGUCUGUGCUGUCCUUUUAGGACACCAGUCAGGUGCUUGGUCUCGAAACACCUUUUACCUGAUGCCCUUCUGAAGCUUGAAGAGGUGGCAUGUACCUCACUUCCCUUGGAUUUGAGAGCAGGACUGGAUGAAACCCUCCUUUACCCUGUAGUCACAUCAAGUCUGAUCAGCCACCAGAAACCCCUUCAGGCUGGUGCUGGCUAGGACCUGGCUGAAGAAGGGACUUUGUUCUGCCAUACGUGCAUGCACCCCUGCCUACCUGUGAUGUCCCAAGGUCUGCAUUGUUACGAGGGACAGGUGUGGUUGGGAGACAGUUGGUGUAGUGAGCUGGAGUUCAAAGGGGACUUGCUUCCUCCCUUCUCUAUACCCCAGGGAAUGUGUCUGUGCUGUCCCUGCAGGGCAUCGGUCAGAUGCUUGCUUCUUCAUCUGACCACUCACCUCAGCAUGUGCCGAACUUCCCGCACCACAGAGCUGGAGAUUCAUUUUCCCUUGCCAGCCAUGGGUCCAACCCUGACCGGUGUAAAGCUGGGAGAAUUGAGGGCUGAGCCCUUCCUAGGUCUCUAAGGAAAAUAAAGGCAACAAGUCACCAGGGAGAUCUGUGGGAAACUGGAAACCUGCUGGUUCUGUAUUCCCGCUGAGGGCCUGAAACAUGAAAGCUCUCCUUUCCAGCUGGGUCAAACCUCAGCACGGGCUGCAAAAGACACAUGUUUUGUUGCCUUGUGAUAAACCUCCUGCUCUGGAAAAUCCUGCCAUUAUUGUGUGUCUGAACUUUUCACCAGUACCGAAUCUGUCAUUAACCUAGAAGGAGACCUUUUCAUGCUCACAUCCUCUGUCUGCACAGCUCCUCUCUGGAGGCAAAUCCCUCAUGGUGAGUGCGUCAGCUGGCUGCAUGCUGCAGACAAGGUUAUGACUGCAUUACAUACUCUGAGGCAGCAAUGGGAAAGGUUCAUCUUUGAAAGCAAAAAGGGGGAAAAAAGCAUGAUUUUACUCAUAAAGUGCCUCGGGUCCCCAUAAAUCCCUCUCACCCUUGUUCAGAGCAGGGCUGGAGGCCAGCAGCAGGGUGGCAGUGGAGCAUGCUGUGCCCGUGCAAUUCAGCCACAGCCAUUUGCAGCAGAGCUGGAGACCACAAUGGAGCAUGUGUUUAAACUAAGGGACAUUUGGGAAGCGACCUUGCCUUAAUCUUUCUGCUAAGCACCUACCAGACUCCCAGCAGCUAAAUCAUUAGUGGUAAUGAUGGUCUGGCCUUCUCCUCCAUGAGCAAUGCCUGCAAUACAGACUGAGAGCAAUAAAAUAGGAAUUUGGUCCACACUCAUCCAAAAGUAUACAGGGGAUUGCUAAUCAGUCUAUUUCCAAGCCCUAUGUUAUUUCUGAGUGUCCUGAAGUGCCUCACUGAGCAUUUUGCUGAUGUAUCCAGCUUGAUGACACAAGGCACUAACAAAUGACUGGAUAAAGGCAGGGUGGCAGGCAGCACUGGAGAGCAUCAGAUGAGUGGGGUGAUCAGCGAAUAGCUCUUGUUAGGGCAAUGAUUUCUCUCUGUCCAAGUGUUUCUCGGCUCCUCCUCGGCUCUGCUUGUGUUUUCCUGGUGCAUGGCUCCCCUCUGUUCAGAAACACCGCUCCAGAGAGAGAACCCUGUCCUGGAUGGCUCUGGGCUGAGGCAGGGGAGUCCCAGCGGGUCUGCUCUGCUUUUGCCAGCCUCUUUCUGUCUUCUCUCAGAUAACUGCUAGCUGUCUUUCUCAGCAUGGGGAAAAGGCAGGAGAUGGACCCCUGCUCUGAUCCAGUAGAAGUACUCAAUGGCCACUUUUCAUCAGCCCAGGUUUCUGAGAAGGAAAGCGAGCCGCCGAAAUAAUUCAAAACACGUGUCUGCUAAGCAUUUGCGAAUGCACCUUGAGGUCUCCUGCCAACCUGCCCUGCAAUCAUACAGAAAAUGACCCAAAUAGCCCACUUAGAGGUGAAGAGUGAAGGGGAGGGAAAGAGGAGGACUGGCUGCCUUCGUCAGAGCAGAGGCACCUUGC
Pezoporus flaviventris is the source of this 3188-nucleotide long non-coding RNA. RefSeq lists it as uncharacterized. The transcript has 3 exons. The record is from RefSeq and is a predicted model, not a curated record. NCBI's taxonomy places the organism in Eukaryota, Metazoa, Chordata, Aves, Psittaciformes, Psittacidae.